CGGACGGGUGAGUAAUGUCUGGGAAACUGCCUGAUGGAGGGGGAUAACUACUGGAAACGGUAGCUAAUACCGCAUAACGUCGCAAGACCAAAGAGGGGGACCUUGGGCCUCUUGCCAUCGGAUGUGCCCAGAUGGGAUUAGCUAGUAGGUGGGGUAACGGCUCACCUAGGCGACGAUCCCUAGCUGGUCUGAGGGGAUGACCAGCCACACUGGAACUGAGACACGGUCCAG
This 231-nucleotide ribosomal RNA is filed under the name uncultured bacterium. RNAcentral describes it as "partial 16S ribosomal RNA". It matches the Rfam family "Bacterial small subunit ribosomal RNA", at positions 99 to 334 of the family's 1533-position model. The record is from RNAcentral.